AGAGCCCACGUGGUCGCGGAGGGGUAAGGACGUCCGCCGACUGACUCGCUCCCUCCGUCGGUCGAGUGGCGAAGAAGUUUGUCACGGGGACGAGGCCAGCAAGUUCAUCAGUGAUUCAGUGUGUCGCCUGAGGACUUCACGUGUGCUGGAGGCCAUUGCUGGAAACGAGGAGCUGUCUUUUCAAGCAUGGUAAGGCUGCCCCUGAUCACACCAUACUUGCAUCCAGCACCUCAUCGCUGCCCGUUCCGAAGCAACCAACUGCCGGGAUCACCUUGGUGGGCUCCACUUCUUCAAGGGUCCCUGUGAUGAAGCUCCUGGGGCAGAGGAAGCAUUUCAAAGGGAAGAAAGAAAAGAAAAAAUAGCCCACUACUCACUGCUCCUACAAGAGAGUCCAGAUGAGUGGCAGAAAGAUGGGUCAAUUUCGGGAGUAGAGGUGUCCUGAUACCCUCCUGAAAGAGUAAAGUUGUGUAUAUAUAUAUCUUGCGUUGAUCUCUUUAUAAGUUGUUUUUUUCUAUAUGAUGCACAUUGGUGCCGUCUUCUGGACUUAGCGGCCGAGAGUCAGCGCGGCACUUAGCCAGUCAGCCUUCAGCUUCAUGCUUGCUGUAUUUUGUAGGGAGCGACAUGUCGGGUUGUUGCUGGAUGUUUCUUAAUUUAUAUAACUUAUCUCGCUUUUUUUACAUAUUAAGUUGAAUUUCCCAUGUUUUAGUUAUUACACCAUUUCAUGUGAGAUUUAAUUAACUGUGUUUUAUGCCCUUUUCUUUUUGUCGAUGUAAAAUGGGGCAGUUAAUGUUAUAUUAUUCAUGUUUCUUGUCGGUGAUAUAGUUUGCAUUCACUUCUUCUAGCUUCUAUAUUAUGUUCAAAGGUUCUUCUUCUCAAAAUGAAUAUAUCUCCCAGAGUAGAUGGUGACACUACACUUGUACGAAAAUUUUAAGACUCCAUUUUUACGUUUAUUUCACUAAGGUUUCCAUUUGAAGGUUUUAGAUUAUGGACCAUAAUUGUAUACAUCAUUUGACCCGAUAGGUAGACUAAAUUGUGGUCAAUGAAAUUACUUACCUUGUCGCAGAUUUCUUUUUUGCAUUUGAUAAGGUGAUCCGUCAUUGGCUUCCAUAAAGUGCUUGUGGUGACGCCAAUGAUGUGCCCGUGUGUGCGACCAAAGUCCUGCACCUGUUGUAGAGGACUUGUUGAAGGUAAACAGCUGAUUUUCAUGAUCAGGUUGGUUGUUUACUCUCAAUAAGUUGUUAAAGGUAAAUGGUUGUUCUGGAUCAUGAAGAACAGCUGUUUACCUUCAUGUCCCCCUACAGGAGGUGAAGGUCAUGCACCACCACACACACACACACACACACACACACACACACACAUGGCAUGGCAAAACACACACACCACACGCACCCACACACACACGAUCAUGAAGAUCAGCACGCAUGUACUUUUGUGGACUUUGGUCGCCUACACACGGGUACAUCGGCGUCACCACAACCACUAUCGAAGCGAAUGAGUCGGUGAAGCUUACUUAAAAUAUAUUUCUAUAAUGUAAAUUUUCAGCCUGACGGAUGCCCCAUCUGAUUUUAUUUUUAUUUAUUUAUUUAUUUUAUUUAUUUAUUUUUUUAAGUAUACACCUAUAGCACCGGUAGGCUUUUUCUUGAGGGGGCCUGGAUGGUAGUCGGCCCCAGCCCGUCAUGGCGCAGGCCAGUGUUUAUAGUGGUGCCAUCUUCUCUGGGCUCAUGCUGCCCCCCCGGAAUGCGUUCUUGAUCCACUUGGACGGUUUCCUCUAGAGUCCAGGUUUAUGGGUGGUCUUCAGGACAUCAUGUGGGUAGUUUUAAGCCGCUCGGCGGUGACUGAAACAUCCAAGGUCGUAGCGUGGGGAUUCGAACCCACGUCGUCUGUCACGCGAUGAAUGUUGUCCAGCGCGUUUUUCCUCGGGGUCUUGCUUCUUGGCAUGGCAAAACACACACACCACACACGCACACCCACCCACCACACAUGCACCACACACACCACACAAACAUAUACACACACACACGCUACACAAACAUAUAUACACACACACACAUACACACACGCCCUUGUCUAUCAGCAACUCGGCCAUUAAAUCUCCAACCAGAAGACUGUGCCAGUGUGCGUGAUAUAG
Molecule: long non-coding RNA, 2128 nt
Organism: Eriocheir sinensis (Chinese mitten crab)
Lineage: Eukaryota; Metazoa; Arthropoda; Malacostraca; Decapoda; Varunidae
Exons: 3
Source: RefSeq, a predicted model, not a curated record